CAGAUACUGUACUGAAGUUUUUUUUUUCUUCUAGGGUUUUAUGGUUUAAGUGUAACAUUUAAGUCUUUAAUCUAUCUUGAAUUAAUUUUUGUAUAAAGUUUAAGGAAGGGAUCCAGUUUCAGCUUUCUACAUAUGGCUAGCCAGUUUUCCCAGCACCAUUUAUUGAAUAGGGAAUCCUUUCCCCAUUUCUUGUUUUUGUCAUGUUUGUCAAAGAUCAGAUGGUUGUAGAUGUGUGGUAUUAUUUCUGAGGGCUCUGUUCUGUUCCAUUGGUCUAUAUCUCCGUUUUGGUACCAGUACCAUGCUGUUUUGGUUACUGUAGCCUUGUAGUACAGUUUGAAGUCAGGUAGUGUGAUGCCUCCAGCUUUGUUCUUUUGGCUAAGUCUUUCAAUUUAUAAACAUGGUGUAUCUAUUUAUAUAGAUUGCUAAAGAUUUCUUUCAUCAGCAUUGUGUACAUCAGCAUUUCAGCUUACAUUUCCUGGGCAUGUUGUGUUAGAUUUAUACCAAAGUAUUUCAGUUUUUUGAGUGAUCAUAAAUGGUAUUACACUUUAAAUUUUGCUUUCCAUAAGUUCAUUGCUAGUGUGUAGAAAUACAAUUAAUUUUCAUAAGAGUAUCUUGUAUUAUGUAAUCUUGCUGAAUUCAUUUAUAAGUUCUAAGAGUUUUAAAUUCUUUUCUUCAGAUUUUCUAUAUAAAGAAUCAUGCCAUUUGAAAACAGGGACAAUUUUAUUCUGUUCUGUCUGUGUUUCUUUUGGAAAAAAAGAGGUUGCUUUAUAUAUAGACACUUCUAUUCUGAAAGCAAAGCAUUCUAAACCAUAUGAUUUUACCCCACGGACUUAAAUUUUAAACUUCUCUGCAUAACAUAUUGAAGCCUGUGCCAAGUGCUAUCUGGAAAAACGUGAGUAUAAUUAAGACAAUCAAGUGAUUCAGUCCCUACCUUUUUACAUUGUAGUGUCAGUUAGGAACAACAUGUAUGUUUCUUCUUCCACGUACUUUCCAUUUUAUCCUGUUGUAUUUGACAUCAAAUGUCUGUCUGCUGCACCAGAGAAAAGAGGGGAUGUUGGCUCCAAUGUAUGACAGGUGUCACUCAUAACAGUAACAAUAGGGGAUUUGGUUAGGUUUUCAUUUGUAAAAUUCUAGAGACUUGAUUUAAAAAGAUAUAGGAAGGAGCAAUGAGGGGAGUUGGUAAUGUGAGAACAAAAGCGAUUACUGUGCUUAAAGGAAAUAUGUAAUAGAGAAGGUUGACCAGGUUGUGAAGAAAACUAUAUUUUCCUCCCUAGGGCUUCUUGUCUUUGUAACUUGCUGAAUCACCCCUUGGACAUUUAAAAAUGUUCGCGCGUCAAGAGGAAGAUGACAGGUAAGGAAGCCAACCUGAAAAUCAACCUUUGCCUCUGUGGCUUGAGCUUGUUUUCCUAGUAAAUUACCUCUGCUGCUGAUGGCAUCGCAGAUCUGGGAAUUUUCGCAUUCCUCCUAAUCCUAGAGAGCAUACUAAAGAAUUUUUAGAAAUUGUUCUUUGUGGCUCCAGACUGCAAGAGGUGUAAGAAGUCCCACAUGUUGCCAGCAACCCUAAGAAGCUAUUUAGACCAAUUCCAAUUGACAUAAUUUAUCAAAAACUGAACUUAAAGGAUUAGUACUGAGAGGACUGGCAGAAGCCUUUUGCUGUUAGAUUUGCAGCAAUUGUUUGCACUAAAACUAUAAGGAGGAGAGCCAGUUCUGUGAGUUUGGGUAGAGAGGUAACUUAGCUUCUUGGCCUUUUUCUCCCCCUAGACAAAGUUAGAGCAGCAAUUUUUAUGUCUUAUUCCUUAGAGAGAGGAAUUUUGGUGAUUAAAAAGGAAGCAAAAGAUGCUGAAAGUUCCAGUUUAAUUUGAUUUAAUUUCUUUUGAGACAGGAACUCGCUUUGUCACCCAAGUUGCAGUGCAGUGGCAUGAUCUUGGCUCACUGCAUCCUCGACCUCCCAGGCUCAAGUAAUCCUUA
This 1968-nucleotide long non-coding RNA is filed under the name Papio anubis (olive baboon). Its description in RNAcentral is "lncRNA (ENSPANG00000051277.1)". Lineage: Eukaryota; Metazoa; Chordata; Mammalia; Primates; Cercopithecidae. The record is from RNAcentral.